This 468-nucleotide ribosomal RNA is filed under the name uncultured bacterium. Its description in RNAcentral is "partial 16S ribosomal RNA". It matches the Rfam family "Bacterial small subunit ribosomal RNA", at positions 28 to 507 of the family's 1533-position model. The record is from RNAcentral.
GACGAACGCUGGCGGCGUGCUUAACACAUGCAAGUCGAACGGAAAGGCCCUGCUUUUGUGGGGUGCUCGAGUGGCGAACGGGUGAGUAACACGUGAGUAACCUGCCCUUGACUUUGGGAUAACUUCAGGAAACUGGGGCUAAUACCGGAUAGGAGCUCCUGCUGCAUGGUGGGGGUUGGAAAGUUUCGGCGGUUGGGGAUGGACUCGCGGCUUAUCAGCUUGUUGGUGGGGUAGUGGCUUACCAAGGCUUUGACGGGUAGCCGGCCUGAGAGGGUGACCGGCAACAGGGGGACUGAGAUAGGCCCAAGACGCCUCCGGGAGGCAGAAGGGGGAAAUAUGGCAAAAGGGGCGGAAGCUGGAGGCACAACCCCCGGGGGCGGGAUGACGGCCUUGGGUUUGAAAACCGCUUUCGCUGGGGACGAAGGGUGAGGGAGGGUAAGGGGUAAAGAAGCACCGGCUAACUACGUG